AAGGCUCGGGCCGGCCCUGACCAUCGGGGCACGACCAAACUCCCAACCUUUGGACAUGAUUAAGUUAUAUCACCUAAUCCAUGUCAAGAAUGAGGAAGCCAGUUGAAAUUGUUCUGGUAGAAGGUGGCAGGAGUGAGGAAAUACAGAGUUGGGAGCAAUCGAUAUUUGCAAAACAAGAAAGUGCAAUAUAUUCAGUCAAAAGAAAACAGUCUUUGCCAGCUUGAUACGGGAACAAAUUUAUUGGCCUGGUUUGUUUGUGACUACGGGAACAAAUUUCUGCAUAUUCUUCAUUAGCUGAGAAGCUGCAAGAAGCUCGCAACUCAUGGCAUUCUAGAUGUUGGGGUUUAAAGGUUGCUAUAUAUCUAUUGUCAGUGAUGGCUCCAUUCAUCAUCCCUUCACGUUUCAUCGAAUUAUAUGAAUUUGAAUAUCUUAAUUUUCUGUCAACUGCCUCCACCAACUGUGAAGUCCUGAAAAUUUGUUGCAUAGAAUGGGAACAAAAGCGGUGGUGGGUGCAGGAACAGGAAGCAUCUUGUUGCAAUAUGUCAAAUGCUGAACCCACAUAAGAUACAUCUGUCCAAUAUGCAUAAGUUUGCAGGCCCACAGAUACAUGCUACACAGUAUAGUUAGCUUAGAAAAGGAUGAUCUGUAGGUAGGUUGUCACUGACAUUUGAUCUCCUAUAGGUUUGUCAUGCUUACAGCCAUGUAUACAUUUUUGUGUUAACAAGAUGCUGAAUGAUAUUAUUUUUAUCGUAUUUAGCUUGGGAUUCAACUUAUGAUUUUGGACUGGCCAAGGAGCCAACCUUAGCUGAUUUUGGACUGGCCGAGGAGCCAACCACCCGAGGUGAAUGACUUCGGCCCUAGCCGAGGAUCCGACCAUCCGAGGUGAGCGACUUUGGCCCCGAUCGAGGAGCCCAUCAAUAUGUGUCAACAAUGACUGACAAUGCUAACAACCGACAGCCCUCGCAGCCUGCCGUCGUGGCAACACCAUAAUCUGCACCCGAUCAGUGCUACAUGCUGACCACACAAACUGAUUCCACACUAUAGCUGUACCACCUGUCGUUACUUGGCUAUCAGUGCAUGCCACGUUAGUUCAGAUAACGACAAAUCCGGCUCGCCUAUAUAAAGGGGGACCUGUGGGACCUCAGAAACUCUCCGGCAAGUAAACUUUUUGCAAGCCAUCCAUGAAGGAGACCGACGCCCGACGCCACCACCAAUCUGGUCAGCUUAUCUCCGGCCGACUUUAGGGUUGUCCGAGCUGAACUCCGAUUUUGGUCCGAA
Phoenix dactylifera (date palm) is the source of this 1278-nucleotide non-coding RNA. The record is from RefSeq and is a predicted model, not a curated record. NCBI's taxonomy places the organism in Eukaryota, Viridiplantae, Streptophyta, Magnoliopsida, Arecales, Arecaceae.